UAGGGAAUCUUCCGCAAUGGACGCAAGUCUGACGGAGCAACGCCGCGUGUGUGAAGAAGGUUUUCGGAUCGUAAAGCACUGUUAUUAGAGAAGAACAGCCGAUAGAGUAACUGUUAUCGGUUUGACGGUAUCUAACCAGAAAGUGACGGCUAACUACGUGCCAGCAGCCGCGGUAAUACGUAGGUCACAAGCGUUGUCCGGAUUUAUUGGGCGUAAAGGGAGCGCAGGCGGUUUGUUAAGUCUGAUGUGAAAGCCCACGGCUCAACCGUGGAACGGCAUUGGAAACUGGCAAACUUGAGUAUAGAAGAGGAAAGUGGAAUUCCAUGUGUAGCGGUGAAAUGCGUAGAUAUAUGGAGGAACACCAGUGGCGAAGGCGACUUUCUGGUCUAUAACUGACGCUGAGGCUCGAAAGCGUGGGGAGCGAACA
This 427-nucleotide ribosomal RNA is filed under the name uncultured Facklamia sp. RNAcentral describes it as "bacterial SSU rRNA". It matches the Rfam family "Bacterial small subunit ribosomal RNA", at positions 355 to 774 of the family's 1533-position model. The record is from RNAcentral. Lineage: Bacteria; Bacillati; Bacillota; Bacilli; Lactobacillales; Aerococcaceae.